AUGGAACUCAAGGAAGUUGUUGUCCGCCAAAAUUUGCCUGCCGGGGAAGAGGUGCAGGGCCUGCCUCAACGGUUUGUAUCAAGCUCGCUGCUUCAGGUGAGCAAUGCGGAUCUCGUCGUCCAAGAUGUAAUCGAACUCCCACCCAAGGUUAUCGUCGUGCUUGGGGCCGUACAUGCGGGGGGUCUUAAAGAAAAUGACGUCAUGGAAGGCGGCGACGAGAUGAAUCUGAUCCGGGUCUACCCCUCCCCUUGGCGCCCCUCCGACACGGACCUCAUCGCCGCCUUCCGCGAUGCCGAUUUCUUCAAGACCCGCCGCAUGUACGGCCCCAAGCACGACGACGACCCCGGGUGGGAGUUUGAUUACAUCUUGGACAGUGAGAUCCGGAUCACCACCGAAAGCAGCGAGCCAGAUACAACAAGCUGA
RNAcentral lists this ribosomal RNA (423 nucleotides) under Triticum aestivum (bread wheat). Its description in RNAcentral is "partial small subunit ribosomal RNA". The record is from RNAcentral. Lineage: Eukaryota; Viridiplantae; Streptophyta; Magnoliopsida; Poales; Poaceae.